Molecule: long non-coding RNA, 382 nt
Organism: Homalodisca vitripennis (glassy-winged sharpshooter)
Lineage: Eukaryota; Metazoa; Arthropoda; Insecta; Hemiptera; Cicadellidae
Exons: 3
Source: RefSeq, a predicted model, not a curated record
UCUUUAUCAAUUAAUCAUUUAUUUGUGUUUGUGGUCGGUCACUGGGCAUUAUUUUACAUUCAAAUCACAAAACAAACGAUAUAUUUUGAACUCACCAACUAAUACACAAAUACGAAGAAGCUUGCCUGACAACACUAUUUAAACUACAUUUUAACCGAAAUGGGUUUAUCAUCAUCAUCUUCAUCAAGUGUGGCUGACUCUCCACCUUGCCUGGCAUCAAAAACUAAUAGUCCUCUCAGUUACCCAGAACAGUACUACCCAUAGUGUACAACAAGGUAUGUUUACAGCUUCAUUAUCAUCAUUUAUCAAUUUCGCCUAGCUCUCCACCUUGCCAGUCUUUGUGUUUGUCUUUGUUACCUUGAGCAAGUCUACAAUGCUAUCA